Molecule: ribosomal RNA, 224 nt
Filed under: uncultured fungus
Lineage: Eukaryota; Fungi
Description: partial 28S ribosomal RNA
Source: RNAcentral
CUGUAGUUGCUCAUCCGGGUUUCUACCCGGUGCACUCUUCUACGGGCAGGCCAGCAUCAGUUUGGGCGGUUGGAUAAAGGUCUCUGUCAUGUACCUCUCUUCGGGGAGAACUUAUAGGGGAGACGACAUGCAACCAGCCUGGACUGAGGUCCGCGCAUCUGCUAGGAUGCUGGCGUAAUGGCUGUAAGCGGCCCGUCUUGAAACACGGACCAAGGAGUCCAAAU